AAUGCCGGAUGCUCCAGUUGAUCGCAUGGUCUUCUGGGAAAGCUUUCGCGGUAUGGGAUGGGGUCGCGUCCUAUCAGCUUGACGGCGGGGUAACGGCCCACCGUGGCUUCGACGGGUAGCCGGCCUGAGAGGGCGACCGGCCACAUUGGGACUGAGAUACGGCCCAGACUCCUACGGGAGGCAGCAGUGGGGAAUAUUGCACAAUGGGCGCAAGCCUGAUGCAGCGACGCCGCGUGAGGGAUGGAGGCCUUCGGGUUGUAAACCUCUUUUAUCGGGGAGCAAGCGAGAGUGAGUUUACCCGUUGAAUAAGCACCGGCUAACUACGUGCCAGCAGCCGCGGUAAUACGUAGGGUGCAAGCGUUAUCCGGAAUUAUUGGGCGUAAAGGGCUCGUAGGCGGUUCGUCGCGUCCGGUGUGAAAGUCCAUCGCUUAACGGUGGAUCCGCGCCGGGUACGGGCGGGCUUGAGUGCGGUAGGGGAGACUGGAAUUCCCGGUGUAACGGUGGAAUGUG
RNAcentral lists this ribosomal RNA (510 nucleotides) under Bifidobacterium longum subsp. suillum. RNAcentral describes it as "bacterial SSU rRNA". It matches the Rfam family "Bacterial small subunit ribosomal RNA", at positions 165 to 690 of the family's 1533-position model. Lineage: Bacteria; Bacillati; Actinomycetota; Actinomycetes; Bifidobacteriales; Bifidobacteriaceae. The record is from RNAcentral.